AUGGGCCAUACCACCCUGAACACGCCUGAUCUCGUCUUAUCUCAGAAACUAAGCAGGGUCGGGCCUGGUUAGUACUUGGAUGGGAGAUCAUUAAAACAUUUCAACCUAGAGGUAAGCCUGAACUUAAGGCCCAGA
Molecule: ribosomal RNA, 135 nt
Organism: Cricetulus griseus (Chinese hamster)
Lineage: Eukaryota; Metazoa; Chordata; Mammalia; Rodentia; Cricetidae
Source: Ensembl